Molecule: ribosomal RNA, 253 nt
Filed under: uncultured bacterium
Lineage: Bacteria
Description: partial 16S ribosomal RNA
Rfam family: Bacterial small subunit ribosomal RNA
Source: RNAcentral
GACAGAGGGUGCAAACGUUGUUCGGAAUUACUGGGCGUAAAGAGUGUGUAGGCGGUGCUCCCAGUCUGUUGUGAAAUCUCCCGGCUUAACUGGGAGGGUGCAGCGGAAACUAGAGUGCUAGAGGGUGGGAGAGGUAAGCGGAAUUCCUGGUGUAGCGGUGAAAUGCGCAGAUAUCAGGAGGAACACCAAUGGCGAAGGCAGCUCGCUGGGACGGUACUGACGCUGAGACGCGAAAGCGUGGGGAGCAAACAGG